GUACAGAUGUCAGAGCAUCCUUCCGUAUGAUUGAAGCGCCCACUAGAGGCCACAGCGGGGCCAAACACCGGGAUUUUGUGGCUGGCCUUGAACUCACAGAGGUCCUCCUGGCCUCCACCUCCUGGAUGCUGGGAUUAAAGGCAUGCAUUACCACAGCCAUCCCGAUAGGUAUUUUUGGGAAGCCAUCAGGAUGAAGAAGGAACCCAGAGUGGAAGGGGAAGGUCGGUGAGGAGGAAAAGAGAUAAUGGGUGGCUUUGUAUCUGAGAAGGGACCGGAGAGGGCCUGCUAAUUGACAGAAUUUCAGGAUGUGUAGAUGCAAGAUGGGGGAAACAGCCAGGGUGAGGGACACAAGCUUAAGGGCACACCCCAGGGGCCCCUUAAAUACCAAUCGGGAGGCUGGAGAUGUCUUAGGAAGGGUGCUUGCCUAGAAGCAUGAAGCCCUCCUCGUAUAUGGUAUCCCAACAUUAGGGAAGCGGAGUCAAAUCGAUCAGAAGUUCAAGGUUAGCCUCAGCUACAAAGUUUAACGUCAGACUGGGCUACGCAAGAUGUCAGCAGGUGUGUCCAGCUUCUGAUUCCCCAGCUGUGAGGUUUACCAAAUAAGAACCAUAUCUGUCCCAGUUCUGGCUUUACCCUGUGUUUGAUGUAGGGACAUAGCAAAGGUACAACCUGAGGUGCCCCCAUUGCCCAACCAGGCGACGUCUGAGUCUCCUACAGCCUGUCUCCCCAAAGCAAGGAUGGCGGACAGACAAACACAUGAUUAACAUUUAUUUCUAAGUCUUCCCAAACAGGCCAGCUGGGGUCUAAUGUGGCUGCCUGGACGCACUCCUGUGCUUCUGGGGUUUGUCGGUCUUUCCCCAGGGCUUUGUGGGUCCAGAAGUCCUCAUGGAGCCUGGAAGUGUCAGACUCGGAAGAGCUGCCUUGUGAAGGGACAGGAUUUGCACAGAGAGGCGAGAAGGCUGCACACAUCCUGGAGCCUGCUCGGCCUAUCAGCACAGCCGGAGAACGGAGGUGAGAGAAUAGAACUCCGUAGAAGGGACAGGGAGCUUUGACUAUGAGGUGAACAGGACCAGCACUGCUCAGCCUCUGAGCCCCAAGGGAGUGAGCAAGAGGUUUCCCACCCCACCUUCUUCUCGGCUUCUAAAAGGAUGACCGAGAGAGAGAGAGGGUUCCAGUUUGUCAAACUGAGUUGUAAGCAGCCCCAUGUCCCAAAGAGGGCUGCAGUGCAGCCAGCCUGUCUUGUAGGCUGUGAUCCUUGGUCCCUUCCCUGGAGGAGAUGUGGAGGCGGCCUCUGCAGCCUCAUCCCCGCUGGACCUUCACUGAGCCUUCUUGGCCACCUUCUGGCUCUUCAGCAGCACAUAGGUGAUGAACAACCCUGGAACACACAGAAAGGAAGGACUGGGAUGAUCUGAUCGAAAGCUAGGUGGCCAGGCACAAUGGCCCACAUGCAAGGUCAGGCUCCCACCUAACCACCCUGAGGGCGCAUCUUCCCAGUCAUUCACUAGGCCACACAGCCACUCAGGGUCAGUCAACCGUCCCCACAGGAAUGGUGCAAGAUGCUCUGUUGAGACCUUCAGACUCACAGGGACUGGCUUGCCCUCCUACCCACCCUGUGCGAUCCUCCAACCAUGGGGUUCCUCGGUCACCCUAAGCACUCUUCUAGGCUCCUGGGCUAGAGCUUAGGAUACAAGGACAUCGUCCCCAGCCCACAGAGCUGUAAGAGAUGCCAGGGUGACUUGAGGCAUGAACAGUGAAGAUGAAAGUGAGGCUGGGACAGGAAAAGAGGACAUUGCCCCGAGAACCUGAAGCCCUGGGAACACCACCAGAGGGGCUUCUGCCUGUGGCCUAAGGAGGAACACGAAAGCCCCAGGGAGAGUUGGGGACAAGGUGACUCUAAGCAGAUAUAUAGCAAGUGCCAAAGUGUGGAAGAACUCUCAGGGGUGAAGGCGGCCAGCCUUCGGGGUGCCCUGCCCCAGAUCAGGAGACCUUUGGAGAACAGAAGACUUACCCACAAACAGGAGCAGCAGGAGGCCUGCGGCCAAUGGGAGGAGGACAGCGUAGGCACGGGGCAGGAAGUACUUGUGGAUGACAUGCUGGCUGUCAAUGAAUGGC
Molecule: long non-coding RNA, 2109 nt
Organism: Rattus rattus (black rat)
Lineage: Eukaryota; Metazoa; Chordata; Mammalia; Rodentia; Muridae
Exons: 2
Source: RefSeq, a predicted model, not a curated record